Small nuclear RNA from Choloepus hoffmanni (Hoffmann's two-fingered sloth), 106 nucleotides. The record is from Ensembl. NCBI's taxonomy places the organism in Eukaryota, Metazoa, Chordata, Mammalia, Pilosa, Megalonychidae.
GUGUUUGCUUCAGCACCACAUAUGGUAACUUGGAACGAUACAGAAAAGAUCAGCAUGGCCCCUGCACAAGGAGGGCAUGCAAAUUUGUGAAGCGUUCCAUAUGUGG